UGUAAACGUUGAGUGCUAGGUGUUAGGGGGUUUCCGCCCCUUUGUGCUGAAGUUAACGCAUUAAGCACUCCGCCUGGGGAGUACGGCCGCAAGGCUGAAACUCAAAAGAAUUGACGGGGGCCCGCACAAGCGGUGGAGCAUGUGGUUUAAUUCGAAGCAACGCGAAGAACCUUACCAGGUCUUGACAUCCUUUGACAGCGGCAGAGAUGCCGUGUUCCCUUCGGGGACAGAGUGACAGGUGGUGCAUGGUUGUCGUCAGCUCGUGUCGUGAGAUGUUGGGUUAAGUCCCGUAACGAGCGCAACCCUUAAUUUUAGUUGCCAGCAUUAAGUUGGGCACUCUAAGGUGACUGCCGGUGACAAACCGGAGGAAGGCGGGGAUGACGUCAAAUCAUCAUGCCCCUUAUGACCUGGGCUACACACGUGCUUCAAUGGAUGGAACAAAGGGACGCGAAGCGGCGACGUGAUAGCCAAUCCCACAAAACCAUUCCCAGUUCGGAUUGCAGGCUGCAACUCGCCUGUAUGAAGCCGGAAUCGCUAGUAAUCGCGGAUCAGAAUGCCGCGGUGAAUACGUUCCCGGGCCUUGUACACACCGCCUGUCACACCACGAGAGUUGGCAACACCCGAAGUC
RNAcentral lists this ribosomal RNA (628 nucleotides) under Lentibacillus halophilus. RNAcentral's name for it is "bacterial SSU rRNA". It matches the Rfam family "Bacterial small subunit ribosomal RNA", at positions 801 to 1428 of the family's 1533-position model. The record is from RNAcentral. Lineage: Bacteria; Bacillati; Bacillota; Bacilli; Caryophanales; Bacillaceae.